CUAGAGKUUKGAUCCYUGGCSUCAGAUUGAACGCUAGCGGGGAKSUUUUACACAUGCCAAGUCGAACGGCAGSSGCGAGAGAGCUUGCUCUCUUKGCGGCGAGUGGCGGACGGGGUGAGUAAUAUAUCGGAACGUGCCCAGUAGCGGGGGGAUAACUACUCGGAAAGAGUGGCUAAUACCGCAUACGCCCUACGGGGGAAAGGGGGGGGAUCGCAAGACCUCUCACUAUUGGAGCGRCCGAUAUCGGAUUAGCUAGUUGGUGGGGUAAAGGCUCACCAAGGCAMCGAUCCGUAGCUGGUUUGAGAGGACGACCAGCCACACUGGGACUGAGACACGGCCCAGACUCCUWCGGGAGGCAGCAGUGGGGAAUUUUGGACAAUGGGGGAAACCCUGAUCCAGCCAUCCCGCGUGUAUGAUGAAGGCCUUCGGGUUGUAAAGUMCUUUUGGCAGAGAAGAAAAGGUAYCYCCUAAUACGRGRUACUGCUGRCGGUAUCUGCAGAAUAAGCACCGGCUAACUACGUGCCAGCAGCCGCGGUAAUACGUAGGGKGCAAGCGUUAAUCGGAAUUACUGGGCGUAAAGCGUGUGUAGGCGGUUCGGAAAGAAAGAUGUGAAAUCCCAGGGCUCAACCUUGGAACUGCAUUUUUAACUGCCGAGCUAGAGUAUGUCAGAGGGGGGUAGAAUUCCACGUGUAGCAGUGAAAUGCGUAGAUAUGUGGAGGAAUMCCGAUGGCGAAGGCAGCCCCCUGGGAUAAUACUGACGCUCAGACACGAAAGCGUGGGGAGCAAACAGGAUUAGAUACCCUGGUAGUCCACGCCCUAAMCKWUKUCAAMUAGCUGUUGGGGCCGUUAGGCCUUAGUAGCGCCAGCUAACGGCGYSAAAGUUKGACCCCCC
This 892-nucleotide ribosomal RNA is filed under the name Alcaligenes faecalis. RNAcentral describes it as "partial 16S ribosomal RNA". It matches the Rfam family "Bacterial small subunit ribosomal RNA", at positions 9 to 873 of the family's 1533-position model. Lineage: Bacteria; Pseudomonadati; Pseudomonadota; Betaproteobacteria; Burkholderiales; Alcaligenaceae. The record is from RNAcentral.